Molecule: RNA transcript, 1735 nt
Organism: Otolemur garnettii (small-eared galago)
Lineage: Eukaryota; Metazoa; Chordata; Mammalia; Primates; Galagidae
Gene name: vasculin pseudogene
Exons: 1
Source: RefSeq, a predicted model, not a curated record
GAUAGCCAUACGAAAACUUUAAAACAGAAGUAUGGGUAGCUGACUUGAAGUAACUCUAUGUCAAAUAGUCAUAGGUUAAGUAUCUUCAAAGAAGUUGGAUAUUAUUUCAGAGGAUACAAAAUAAAAAAACAAACUGGAAAACAUAAAGAUUACAGAGAAAAAACCAACACCUUCCUGUGCAGUCCUCUUGGAAUUUGGACUUGCCAUGAGGUGUUGAAGCCUUGUUUCACUGAGUUGGAGAGACUGGACCUAAAUGGCGCAGCAUGACUUUGCUCCAGCCUGGCUUAAUUUUCCUACUCCACCAUCAUCAACAAAUUCUUCAUUGAAUUUUGAGAAGCAUUCUGAAAACUUUUCAUGGACAGAAAACUGAUAUGAUGUGAAUUGUCGACGACACAAUUCUUCAGAUGGCUUUGAUUCUGGUAUUGGACGUUCUAAUGGAGGUAACUUUGGAAGGAAAGAAAAAAAUGGAUGGCAUACACAUGGAAGAAAUGGUACUGAAAACAUAGAUCAUUGAAAGAGAUACCAUGGUGGAAGUUCCUGUUCUCAUAGCAGUAUUUUCCAUUCUGGAAAAAGCCAAGGAUUACAUGAAAACAACAUACCUGACAAUGAAACUGGGAGGAAAGAAGAUAAGAGAGAAUGCAAACAGUUUGAGGCUGAGGAUUUUCCAUCUUUAAAUCCUGAAUAUGAGAGAGAACCAAAUCAGAAUAAAUCUUUAGCUGCAGGUGUAUGGGGCCUACACGCCCAGACACACACAUACCCAACCAAAAAAAUCUCCCAAGCUCCUCUCUUAGAAUAUCCUCUGAAUCCUAAAUCUAGAGCUCCAAGGAUGCUGGUCAUUAAGAAAGGUAAUACAAAAGACUUACAGCUAUCUGGAUUCCCAGUAGUAGGAAAUCUUCAGUCACAGCCAGUUAAGAACGGAACUGGUCCCAGUGUUUAUAAAGGUUUAGUCCCCAAACCUGCUGCUCCACCUAUAACACCUAUACCAUGGAAAAGCCAAACUAAAGAAAAUAAAGUUGGGACUUCUUUCCCCAAUGAGUCUACAUAUGGUGUUGGCAACUUUCAUGCUUUUAAAUCAACUGCCAAGAAUUUUAGUCCAUCAGCUAAUUCAGUGAAAGAGUGUAAUUGCUCAAAUUCCUCUUCACCUGUUGACAAACUUAAUCAGCAGCCUCCUCUAACCAAACUGACAUGAAUGUGCACUGAUAAGAAGAGUGAAUUUUUGAAAGCAUUGAAAAGGGACAGAGUAGAAGAGGAACAUGAAGAUGAAAGCCAUGCUGGCUCAGAGAAGGAUGAAGACUCAUUUAAUUUACAUAACAGCAAUAGCACUCACCAAGAAAGGGAUAUAAACUGGAACUUGGAUGAAAAUGAAAUUCCGCAAGAGAAUGGCAAUGUCUCAGUGAUUUCCCAACAAGUCAUUCAUUCUUCAACCUUCCUGCAAACUGACGUUCUUUCAAGUUCACUUGAGGCAGAACACAGACUGUUGAAGGAGAUGGGCUGGCAGGAAGGCAGUGAAAAUGAUGAAACAUGUGCUCCUUUAACUGAGGAUGAAAUGAGAGAAUUCCAAGUUAUCAGUGAACAGUUACAGAAGAAUGGUCUGAGAAAAAACGGCAUUUUGAAAAAUGGCCUGACCUGUGACUUCAAGUUUGGACCUUGGAAAAACAGCACUUUCAAACCCACAAUUGAGAAUGAUGACACAGAGACAAGUAGCAGUGACACACUGGAUGACGACGAUGUGUGA